CAGCCGCCGCGGUAAAACCAGCACCUCAAGUGGUCAGGAUGAUUAUUGGGCCUAAAGCGUCCGUAGCUCGUUUUGUAAGUUUUCGGUUAAAUCCAUGCGCUUAACGUAUGGGCUGCCGGGAAUACUGCAGAACUAGGGAGUGGGAGAGGUAGACGGUACUCGGGAGGAAGGGGUAAAAUCCUUUGAUCUCUUGAUGACCACCUGUGGCGAAGGCGGUCUACCAGAACACGUUCGACGGUGAGGGAUGAAAGCUGGGGGAGCAAACCGGAUUAGAUACCCGGGUAGUCCCGGCUGUAAACGAUGCAGACUCGGUGAUGCACUGGCUUUUGGCCAGUGCAGUGCCGCAGGGAAGCCGUUAAGUUUGCCGCCUGGGAAGUACGUACGCAAGUAUGAAACUUAAAGGAAUUGGCGGGGGAGCACAA
Molecule: ribosomal RNA, 422 nt
Filed under: uncultured archaeon
Lineage: Archaea
Description: bacterial SSU rRNA
Rfam family: Archaeal small subunit ribosomal RNA
Source: RNAcentral